UCCUAAUUUAUAAAACUUAGUUAAAGUGAUGUUUUAAGUGUUCAAUUGUGUAGUGGUUAUAUUGAAUGAAAACUUAGAAAUUCCUACAAGGUUUCUAAAUUAAGCUUUCAAAGUAAAAACAAUGUUGAUUAUGCAACUAUGUAGCCUGAUUAUAUAACUAAGGUGGGGCUAAAAAUAUGUGGUUAUCGUACAUGAUUGAACAUGUGUAUCACAUCAUGUGUGUAGGAUAGUUGGGUUAUGUACCAAGUGUGUAGAACUAAUGUGUAUAUAUAUACAUAAAUAUGAUAAUAGGACUUUGAGUUGACAAUAAG
RNAcentral lists this long non-coding RNA (311 nucleotides) under Panax ginseng (ginseng). Its description in RNAcentral is "long non-coding RNA (PGIN_LNC014452)". Lineage: Eukaryota; Viridiplantae; Streptophyta; Magnoliopsida; Apiales; Araliaceae. The record is from RNAcentral.